Molecule: long non-coding RNA, 25356 nt
Filed under: Homo sapiens (human)
Lineage: Eukaryota; Metazoa; Chordata; Mammalia; Primates; Hominidae
Description: HSALNT0203515
Source: RNAcentral
UCUGCAGUCAAUGUCCCAAGGUCCCAAGAUUAUUGUUAGAACGAAGUCUCACUCUGUCGCCCAGACAGGAGUGCGGUAGCCCGAUCUCGGCUCACUGCAAUCUCUGCCUCCCAGUUUCGAGCAAUUCUCCUGCCUCAGUCUCCCGAGUACCUGGGACUACAGGCACAUGCCACCACACUCGGCUAAUUUUUUUUUCUUUUUUUUUGUAUUUUUAGUAGAGACAGGUUCUCACAGUGUUAGCCAGGAUGGUCUUGAUCUCCUGACCUCGUGAUCUGCCCGCCUUGGCCUCCCAAAGUGCUGGGAUUACCUAAGUGUGAGCCACCGCACCCGGCCAAGACAUUUAAAAGUAUACUUAGACCCCAUCUACCAGGAAUUCAUUUUUAUUUCCUAGAAAUCCAGGGUUCAGAGAAUUGAACAUCCACCCUCAUUUAUCCUUUUAAAACUUAUAAUUCAACAUUCUCAGAAUAUUGAAAGGACUUAUAUUAUGGUUUAGGGUUUGUUUUCAAAACAAUGAAAAAAAAAAACAUUUUAUUUUAAAAGAUACUGUGUUGAGUGGCAGCUAUGUCCUGGACACUGUAUUGGCAAUCACAGAAAUAAAGGUCAAGAUAGAUAGGGCAGGAUUCCUCUAACUGGAUGAACUCACAGUCUAAUGAGGAAGACUGAUAUAAAAUGGUAUAAUUAUAAUACAAAACAAUCAUCUUUAGAGUAGAAAUAUAAAUUCAGAUUUUUAGAAGCAAAAUAUAUUUAAUAGCAAAAUUUGAAAUCCACUCAAUUUUCUAAAGGAAAAAUCAUAACUCUCAGUAUAUAUAGAAAGUUUGCUUUAAAUCAAGCAGAAUUGAAUAUCUGAUUAUCAUAGAGACGUCAAAUUGGGAUAUAUGCUUGCCUGGAUGUUGUUCACUUGUGAGAAUGACAUAGUGAAUGUAAAGGAUCAGGAGAAACGAUGGCUCACGUAACAAAUUUGUAACAAAAAACUCAUAUACUGUGACUGUUUGAUUUUUGUUAAGUACAAUUCAAUGCAUAAAACAUGAGAAAUAUGUAUUAAAAGUCCUAAUAAAAAUGUAACACACGUUUGAAGAUUUUUGAAAGGGCUUAUUAUUGACAUAAAGCAAAAAUAGUUUAUUUAGCUUGAAUAAUUAAUAUUAUGCCUCAGUAACUCAUAAUAAACAUGCAUUCAAUUAAAUGUUAAAAUAUCACUUAAAUCAAUACAUAGUAAUUCAAGACUUGGGAUCAAAAGAAAAAUUAAGAAAAACUGUUUUAAUACCCUAAAUGCCAUAAGCACUAGAACACAAGCAAUAUAAGGAAAUAACUUGAUUUUUUUAAAGGCAUUUUCUUUGGAGCUUUAGUAAAAUAAACGGACCAGUGGCCAAAUGGCUCUGUAGAGUCUUUGUUGUCUAACCUGAACAAAUCACUUAACCUCUGUAGGGACCAUUUUUCCUAAUCACAGAAAUGGGUGUAAUAAUGCCAAUCUCACCAGUCUGUUGUUGAAAAGCCAAGAGAAUUUUUAAAGGUACUUUUUUUUUUUUUUUUUUUGAGACAGAGUCUUGCUCUGUCGCCCAGGCUGGAGUACAAUGGUGCAAUCUUGGCUCACUGUAAUCUCUGCCUCCCAGGUUCAAGCGAUGCUCCAGCCUCAACCUCCUGAGUAGCUGGGAUUACAGGCACCCGCCAUUAUGCCCAGCUAAUUUUUGUAUUUUUGUAGAGAUGGGGCUUCACCAUGUUGGCCAGGCUGAUCUUGAUCUCCUGACCUCAGGUGAUCUGCCCACCUCGGCCUCCCAACGUGCUGGGAUUACAGGUGUGAGCCACCACGCCUGGCCUUAAAGGUACUUUGAAAGUAGCAAUCCAGUUGUUGAUAAUCACAAUGGCAUUUCUGUAUUAUCAUGCUUUUCAGGGUUGAAUCACUGAAGUGCCUUUAGGAAGAUGCAAUAUCAAGAUUUUUUAAAUUAUGGACUUAAUUUACAAAAUAUACAUAAACAUAAUUACAAACCUCUCUAUGAUUAAAAGAAAAAUGAUGAAUAUUGUAUUCAGAACCAAUAUGAUAAUUUCAAAUAUUUUUAAAUUGACCACCGAAGACUUGAUUACCUGACAACAAUAUAGAGAUUUAGGGCUGUGAACACAGUCUCUCCAUGGCCAUUGCUCAAAGUUCAUUAAGCACCGUUUAAGGUGAUGGGUAACAUUUGUCCAGAGAAAUUGUCAGGAUUUUUUUAGAGACAAAUAAAUCCUCAGUGGGUGUCAGUUGUGAUGUGUGCAUUUAAAACAGAUUGACAGAGCAGAAAUAGAUUUUUAUGUAAAAGACUGACAAAAUUAACAUGUUUAAGCUACUGAUCCUAUAAAAAGAGAUCCCUGGAAAACACCUCUGUAGGUGUCUAAAGAAAUACAGGGAGUGAGAACCUGGAAACAAAACAAGUUUUAUUCAAAGUAAAUAAAUGUUUUAUACAUAUAAAAGGUCUUCAAUGUGAUCAAGAAAAGUGUAAGUUCAAGUGAUGACAGAUUGCUAAGAAAUGCAGUGCGACAGCUAGCAAGGCAUCCAGAUCCUCAAAUAUUUUUUUAUGGAGGAAUACUCUAAAAUGUGCCUAUAUAAUUAUUUAAGAAUAGCUUGAAAUACCUUGAAACGCACCACUUAAUCAAAAUACAGCAUCUCCUUUCCCUGAGGAUGAUACAUCUGAACACAAAUAUGUAUCUAAAUGCUUAAUGGGUCUGCCGAAGGAAGUUAACAACAAAUAAAUGAAAACAAGUACAUAUAAAUAUCCGGUAUAUUAAAAGAUGACUGAGUGGCAUAUAAUUUCUACGGGUAAUUCCAUGCCCAUGUUGAAGUUUAAAUUAGUACACUGUUAAGGCCUGCUUUGAAGAAAGUUAUUAUGUACCUUUUAGACUGCAAACCAGUAAACUCCCCCUCCCUCGCAUUAUGUUGUUGCCAGUCUUUGUCUUUUUUUUUUUUUCCUGUGGUCCUGUUUAAAUUCUCACCUUGCUCUGCCCUUGUCAUCAAGUCGUUCAAGCACAAAGCAGGGAGCAUGGGGAGUGUUUACUCAUUUCCCAAGUCCAUUAUCUUACACAUUAAUCACUGGUCUGGAACUUUUGGACAAUGCUGAAUCUGUUACCUUUUUUUCCCCUUUCUGGCUGCUUUUACUUGAGAGUCUGACAGUUCACCAGUUUUAAGCUGCACUAAGACUUGAUGACCUUUUCAUCUGAUUAACUAUUUUUGUCCCUAAAAAAAAAAGAUAGGCAUUUAUAGUCCAGUGAAACCAUCAUGACCUUAAAUGUGGAAGAUGAAGCCUUUAUUUUUUCUUCAUGGAAAGACAGCCUAAGGGAGCUAAAUAUUUUAAAUAUUGGUUUAUAAAAGAGUGCCUUUUUUGGGAUUAAGUUCAUUCCCCCCAACCCCCACGCUGCCCUCACUAUUAUUAAGUGUCAUUUUCAAAACAAAACAUUAGUGAGAAAUUCCAGUUAACUUUGGAAAGCAAAUAUUUUUAAAUAUUAAAGUAAACAAUUUUUAACUCUAAUAUCUUCAUGGUUCUUGCAUAAUAUGAAGGACUGUUCUGGGAAUUUAAAGUUUAGCUUCAAUAAUGAUUACUAAACCAAGAGAAAUAGAUGUAAAAAAGCAGGACAGCUGGAGGCUCUUGAACUAUAGUUGUCAAAAGAUUUGUUUGUGAAACAUGCAUUUUAUUGCCUUGUAUGCAUGUUAUAAUGAGGCAUGGACAACUGCAACAUUACACUUAAUGACUGCAUUUCUUGUUUCAGCCAGUUUCCUUGUCCUCUUGCAAUUAACGUUUUCCCAGAUCACCCAAGGCUACUUUGUCAGGGAGAAAAAAAAAAUCUGAAAUUCACAUAAAUGAGCAAUGUCAAUAGUUUAGAAAGAGUUUACUUAGAGAACAAAGGGCCCUUAUGAGGCACUAGUGAGAAGAAAUGGGGAAAAAAUGAGUCCUCACAAUGUAAGCCUUUUCUUAAAGCGACUUGUUAUCAAGCAGUUCAGGAUAGUCCCUCAAAUCUGCAUUAAAAUGCAUUUCAUUCCAUUGACUCAUUUGCAUUAAUUUCUCCCAUUAUAUCUGAAAAUGGCUGAAUGUCUACCCAACACAAUGCCACAGCCUAUCACAGGCUACCACGGCGGCCCCAGGUGCCAAUUUACUCCUCUUAGUUCUUUUCAUUCUGUUUGCUGAUUCUGACAACUGGAGUUCUCCUCUCAGUCCAAGGGACUUUUCAAUUGGAUUUGCUCGUGGUGACAAAAUUGUUGCUUUGCUGAGAGGAGGGGGUUCUUUGAUUGAGCGUCUAUCAUGCUGCCAUGGGAAAGCGAGAGGCGAAUGAUUCUCAGUGGCUUCUGAUUUCCAGUAUUUGUUCAGCAUUAGGCCCACUUAUCUCCAGAAGAAAAAGCAACAUGUAGAAAGAAAGUGACAGGCAGAAACACACUCACUUGCUCGUUCAUUCUCACUGCGCUCUGUAUUCAAACAAGGGGGACCUAUUACACUGAAAGCUCCAGAUCAGCCUCACUCAAUUAUCACAGUUAAUCCUUAUAGCUCUAUAAAGUAAAUAUUUCAUUACAAUUUCAAAUAAACAGUCACCCAAUCUAAUGAAGCAAGAACUCAAAGUGGCAAUGUCAUAGAACUCGUUACCGUCAUCAAAGGAAAGGACACAGCCUUGUCUACUAAUAAUGAAAAAAUAGAUACUGGCAUAUUUAUGAACUCAAGGGUGUUGUAGUGGUGAGGAUUUCUUUUUCAGUGCCAUUGGCCAAUUUAUCUUUCCAAAUACAAUUCAGUUAUCAAAAUUCUAUGUGUCUUUUUUCUCUCUCUCUUUAUUUCUCUUGGUUUUUCACCCCAAUCUCUUCAUGGGGAUCAUCAUCUUCACUACCCAUCAUCCACACACUUAGCACAUUCCACUAUAACUUUUCUUUUUCAUAAACAUCAGAGAAUUUUGAUAUGGCAUUUUGAAUUCAGGAAAUUUACAGAAUAUAAAGUGAUCAUUUUCAUAAUCCAUUGUCUCUAUCACCAAUGUUAUCUUAAAUCCUUCAUCUUGUAUGUCCUUAUAUCCUCUAUCUACUACUCUUUUACUCCGGGGCAAGAACAUCUAAAAAUAACUCUCAUUUCACCAAAUUUUAAUAAUUUGAAAAAAAAAAGCUUGAAUUGAAUAAAGAUAAGUAGAUUAAGUCCUUAAUCAAAUGUUGAAUUACCUCUAUGCUAUUCUAACUCUCAUUUUAAUCCUAAUCUUUAGUCUCUCAGGAAAUCGUUUUUCUUAAAUUAUUACUUUAUCCUUCUUAUUAAAUAUCCCGGUAGUAGUCAUUAUAUUUUCACACUUUGUAAUUCACUCUAUAGGGCAGAGGGUACAAUGUGUAUAAUAGCACCAUUUUGCUUGUACUUAUAAGCGCUGACUCAAAAGGGAGUCCAUGUUAUGCAAUAAGACAAAAUUUCCUAUAGGUAGAUUGUAACUAUAAACUUCUUCUCUUUUCCUCUCAAUUUUACAAUACUAUAUUCUCCUGUCCUAAAAUCAUCGUCAAGUAGGAAGCGAGAUGAAUUGUUUUAGUGAGGAAUAUUUGCAUUUUUCCCUUUCUUAUGGGAUUCUUAAAUACUUACUAGCCUUUAAAAAUAUCACCUGAAACACAGACUUCUCAAACAUCAAUGUGCGUACACAUCAUCUGGGGUUGGGCAGGCAGGGAAGCUUGUUAAAUGCAGGUUUUGAUCCAGUAGGUCUGGAAUGGGGCCUGGAUGCUAACAUUUUUAAGUCACUGGUGAUGCUGAUUCUGCCGGUCCUGGAGCCAUACUUUGAUAAGCAAGGACUUAAACUAUUGAUGGUGUUUAUAAUUUGUAUAAUAAAAUCAGGAGUAGGGGAUCCUUAUAUUACUAUCAAGAUAAAGCCAUAUGUGAUAUUGUCAACACUAUUUUAUUAAUUUCAUUAAUAAAUAUAUCUAAAACAUGGGUGAUUUAAUAGAUAAUAUUUAUAUUAAUAAACUAUCAAAAAUGUGGAUGAUUUAACUAGGAGUGUUACUAGCAAUACUGAUAAUAAUAUUGAUAAUUGAGUGCCUGCUAUGUAUACUUAAUUAUUAACUAAUUUUUUUCCUCACUACAACCUCAAAGUCUGUAUUGUUAUGUUAAUUGUAUUAAUUAUACAGACCAGAAAACUAAGACUCGGUGAGGUAAAAUAACUGGUCCAAGGUAGGGGCUGGAACUUGAGUCAAGUAUUGUAUACAAAUGCACUAUCAGUUCAGUAUCACUUAAAUCGACUUACUCCCCCAUGCCAAGCCCAUAUCGCUGGAUCACAGUCUAUGACAUUCAUUCACCCAAUAUGUUUUAUUGAAGGCCUACAGUGUCUUAGUCCCUCUUCUGGGGACUAGGACAUUUAGGUGUGAAAAGACAAGCAAAGUUCCUGCCAUGUUGGAUUUACUCUACAACUGAACAAAUGAGUGAGCAAGAAAAUGUCACAUAUGAGUAAGUGAUAUGAAGAAAAUGAUGAAUAUGAUGUAAUAAAAAAUUAUUUAGGAAUGUACAUCUAGGUCCGGCGUGGUGGCUCACUUUGGGAGGCCGAGGCGAGCAGCACUUUGGGAGGCCAAGGCGAGCAGAACACUUGAGGUCAGGAGUUUGAGACCAGCCUGACCAACAUGGAGAAACCCCGUCUCUAUUAAAAACACAAAAUUUACCCGGGCAUGGUGGGGCAUGCCUGUAAUCCCAGCCACUUGGGAAGCUGAGGCAAGAGAAUUGCUUGAACCCAGGAGGCGGAGAUUGCAGUGAGCUGAGAUUGCGCUGUUGCACUCCAGCCUUGGGCAACAAGAGUGAAACUUUGUCUCAAAAAAAAAAAAAAAAAAAAAAAAGAAUGUACAUCUAAGUGGUAGAUACACUACCUUCAAAAUUUACCUUCAAAUUUAAAAUUUGGUACUAUUAAUAUUGGACCAAUUUAAUAAUGUAGUUUUUUCUCAGUCAUUCCAAGUCAUGUAAAAAUGCAAAUAAACAUAAGUGACGUAUCACUGGCAUAUAAAACGGCUUGCACCACAGAUAUGGGAAGACAAGUUUAAAUGACACCAUAUAUUGGAAUAAUCCCCCAUGUAUGUUGCUUUGACUGGUAUCUUAACACUCUCUGAGAUCAGUGUCAUAAUCUUCAUCCUCAACAUUCACAUGUAUAUAUCACCUUAUUUAGUUGCUAGUUUUGUUUGAAGCAUUUUAACAUAUAUUAACUCACUGAUUCCUUAUGACUGCUUUAUUAAGUAAGUAUUAUAUGUUUAUAUUCAUUUUGCAGAUUAUAAAACUGAGGCAUGGAGCCAUGAAGUAAUAAAUUCAGGUUUAUAUCAUUGGUCACGUAUCAAAGUCACUUUUGAAAUUCAGGCAGUUGGGUUCCAAAGUCUGUGCUGUUGAACAGUUUGCUACACUGCCUCUCAUUUUUGCUUAUAAGAUAUUACAGGUGUUGUUAUAGAUUAUUUCCAAGAUCUCUUUCUGAUCACAAAUGCUCAAACCCCAUGAUAAUUACUUAAAAUAUAAAAGCUAAGAGAUCAGACUGUGUUUCAGCCUGUUUGGUUGGAAUAGUUUAUGUGUUUAAUAUCUUAUCAAAGCUCUUCCCUGAUUUUUUUUUUUGAGAUGGUAUCUUGCUGUAUUGCCCAGGCUAAACUCAAAUUCCUGGUCUCAAGUGAUCCUCUCACCUCAGCCUCCUAAGUAGCUAAGACUACAGGUGCACAUUACUGCACCUGGCUUUCUAAUCUUAAUGUGAGACUCUGCAUUCCUCCAUUUAUAUUCCUUUUUACAGAAGAUUUCAUUUGCAAUUAGUAAACCUUUUAAUCGAUCAUUAAAAUUAAAGUAGCAAAAAUAUCAUUUAUAAAGGCACAUGCUCAGCAGAAAACACUGGUCAAAAUAAUUAACACAUGUUUGCAGAUUUAAUGCAACUGUUGGACCUGUUAUACAAACUCACCUUUUAAUAACAUCCAGGGGCAAAAUGCCCACCUUUAUGCCAUGUUGCAAAACAUUUUAUUCAUUUAUCUGUAUUUUUAACGAACAUUUGUUGAAUAUCAACUUGUGCACAACAAUCUUGGGUACCAGGAUAUAAAUAUAAAUGGCUGUAGAGCAAAUAUCAGGGUUUAUGACACUAAAAUAUGGGUGAUAUAAGAAAGAAUAUCAUUAUCAUUAUAAAUAAUAACAAUAAUUAUUUGCCUUUAUGUGCACUUCAUUUUUAACUAAUAUUAUUCUCACCACAACAUUUAAGGUCUCUAGCUCUAACUUAUGCUAUAUUAAUUAUAGGGAUUGGAAAACUUUCAUGCAAUCAUACUCAAAGAAAUACAGUACAGUUAACCGGGUGUGACGGCAUGUUCCUAUAGUCCCAGCUACUUGGGAAGCUGAGACACGAGGAUUACUUCAGGAAUUCAAGGCUGCAAUGAGCUAUGAUAGUGCUUGUGAACAGCCACUACAUUCCAGCCUAGGCAAUAAAGUGAGAGCCCAUAUUAAAAAAUUUAAAUUAGGAUAAAAAAAUUGUAAAAGAAUUAUAAUACAUUUAAUUAUAUAAAACUAUAAAUGUUAUAAAUGAGAUAAAGUAUUCAAUAAAGGCACAAAGAAAAGAAAACAUAAACAGCCCACAAAAUUUCUAAAUUAAAAAUAAGUGGAAGCAGUGAUGAAGUCUCAGAAUGCUGUUUGUCUUGGGAUGUAGUUCACUAGGGUAUAAGUCUCGUAAGUUUUCACUCCCCAUAUCUAAUAAUUGCUUGGCCUACUGCUGUGCUCAAAGUACAUGCUCAAUAAAUAUAUGCACAAUGCAAAAGCUCUUAUUUUACUUCUUUACUUUUACAAUCUGAAGGUAUGCCAAUGUGGUAAAUAUCUGAUGACAUAUCCAUUAGGAGAACUCUUCUGCAGAUUAAUUUCUUAGGCAUCUUGACAACUGUUUACAUCUUGAAAUAUACGAUUGGUCUUUGGACUUUGGACUUUAAAACAAUGUAAUUUAUUGUCUUUUUACAUUUUAACCAUGCUUCCCUUUUUUCAAAGCCUCCUCUCCACUCUUUCCUAAAAGUAGAUAUUACUCAAGAUUUUAUCUUUAGCUCUUCCUUGUCUCUCAAAAUCCUUAUACCCAGAAAGUUCCAUUCAUUCCAAUUUCCAAUCUUCAAGUGAGGUAAGCAGGGGUCCCCACUGAUACCAAUACAGUCUACUAACCCUGGAUACCAGCCCCUGAUUAUUCUACCGUUAUCUCAAGUGCAACAUUUCCAUGAAUUUGUUAUCUUUUUCCUCAUUCUGUAUUCCCUUCCUGUUGCACCAUCCAUCAAGUCAUACAAACCAGGCAUUUGGAAGACAUUAACUUAUGAUUUCACCUGUUCCAUCUAUCCUUGCCUACCCACAAGCUUCUAAUCUGUGACUAAAUUCCAUGGGUUCUACCCCUUGAGGCACUGUCACGUCCAUCUGCUUUUCCCCAUUUUUGUGGUCACUGUUUCAGUAAAGGCUCUUUUUAUUUUCCACAGGGACUGUUAUAAUAAUCUUCUAACUAGCCUUCUUGCCUCCAUUUGUAGUACACUUUCCAAUUUGUCCCACAAUGGGAUGCUAGAGUCUUACUUAUACUAUGCAAAUUUUGUUAUGUAAUGUACUGUCUUAAAAAUCUUCCAUAUUUCCUCAUUCUUUUCAAGAUAAAAAUCUAAACACAAGAAUAAAUGAGAGCCAUUAUUAUCUGGUUCCUGCCCAUUUCUCCAGCCAUCUUUAAACAGUAAUAAUGAUGGUUAUCAUAGGAUGUGCCAAGCACUGUUGAAAUGUCUUCAUACACUAUUUUAUUUACUCUUUCUAGCAAUCCUAGGAAGUGAGAUUUAAGACCCCCAGUUUUAUAAGUAAUGUUUCCAUAACAACUAACAUCUACAGUCAUGGAAUAAGAAAAUGACCAAGCCAGGAUGUGAAACAGAGUCGGUCUAAAUCUAAUGCUGUUGCUCAAAAGGAUUAUUCUUCUUCUUCUUCAUUUUUUUUUUUUUUUUUUUUGAGACUGAGUCUCGCUCUGUCGCCCAGGCUGGAGUGCAGUGGCGCGAUCUCUGCUCACUGCAAGCUCCGCCUCCCGGGUUCACACCAUUCUCCUGCCUCAGCCUCCUGAGUAGCUGGGACAACAGGCGCCCGCCACCACGUCCAGCUAAUUUUUUGUAUUUUUAGUAGAGACGGGGUUUCACUGUGUUAGCCAGGAUGGUCUCGGUCUCCUGACCUCGUGAUCCGUCCGCCUCGGCCUCCCAAAGUGCUGGGAUUACAGGCGUGAGCCACCACGCCUGGCCUCAAAAAGAUUAUUUACUAUUUCCCCUAAAUUUCCUACUCACCUCUCCUUCUCAUUCUCCAUCUGUACCCUCUUCUCUUCAGGUUGUCACCUGUAGCCUUUAAGUACCUUAGAAUCUAUAAUCACUUGUGGAGAUGUUUAAAAUUCCAAUGGCCGGGCUUCAUUCAGCUCUUGAGAUUCUUAAGGUGAAGCCUGUGCAUCAGAAUUUUUUUAAAGCAACCCAGUUUUUUCUAAGGUGUAGCCAGGUUUGAGACCUACUGCCUAGCAAAACUAAAUUAUAUAUAGUUGUACCAAACAUAAUGUAACCUCCAUUAGCCCUGAUCCCAGUGAUUGUAACUAUUUCUCCCCAUAUAAUUGUCUGUAGGGAAUGUUUGGGCUUCCCACAGCUUCAUGGCUCCCUUCAAUUUACAAUUGACAUGACUGGCAGUCAGUAGACUGCCAACAAUAACUUGUAAAAUAAAUAAUUGAAUAAGACUUGUUGAUUGCUCUUAUAAGUACUUUGUAGGAAUUCUUAAUGUAAGCACUGAAAAUUAAUAUCUUGAAGUUCCUUAAAUUUUGCAGGGCAAAGGGAGGAAUGAAAGCACUGAAAAAAACAAUUUCAAUACAUGAAAUUAUUUACACAUAAAAUGUGUCAGUUUCCUCCUGAGAAAAGGCUUAAAAAAAAAAAGCUCUCACUUAAUUAAAGGCCAAAAAAGUUUUUUUCCCCCAAAGUUUUAAACUCAUUAGCAUCUUGCAGAUAUAUGUGAAAAACUAUAGUCUAGAUAAAGAUAACAAAGACAACAGAGAGGUCUUGUUUUCCUAGUUAACACCCUCCUCUCCUCAGAAAAAGGUGACUUUAAAAGCUACAUCUUUAUGCAACUGCCAUUUUUUCCCCAGUGACAGAGUACAUUUUCCUAAUAAUUAAUUACUUAGUCAUUGGCAAAUUAAAACAUCAUAUUACUUUGCAAUUAAUAUAUAUUUAACACUGUUUAUCAAUAAAUUAAGUUAAUAUUAAUUAUUAUCAAUAUAAUGAUUUAAGUUUCUACUAUUAUUUAAGUUAUUCAUAUAAUUUUUGAGAAAACACUUUAGAGGUUUCUUCCAUGAGGUUUUAUUAAAACUGUUAUAAGAAUCUAAAAAUCUUGUGUUUCUGCUAUUAUGUGAAAAAUCUAAGUUAUAGUAUUUCAAGGGGCGAUUUGGUGGGGGAAUAAAAUAUCUAAGAAUAUAAAGAGAAUCUGAAUGACCACAUAAUAAAAAUUAAUCAUGGUGAAUUGCUUUGGGGAGAAUCAUACACUUGACCCAUAUUGAAGACUGAAAUAUUAAUCCAUUUCUAUGACAGAGAUCAAGCUUCACAGUCGCUUUUUAUCCUCCUCAUCAUAGAAGCAACAGUUGUAAACCAUAAUGUUAUAGUUCAAACAAUGCCCCCCCAAGACUCCAAAUUUAUUAUAGCAUUCAUCUCCAAGACAAAAGACCUGGUGUAGGCAAAAAGCUCUUUAUAGCAAAAAGCAUGGUUGUUAUUUAUGGCUCAGAUGCAAAGAAUGAGUUUGGGGAAUUUAUCAGAGAUGAAGGUAUGAAAUGUUUUAGCUUGUUCUUCCCUCUCUAAUCCAUAAACCAUUUUCUCAGCCACCCAAGUGAAUUCUAAUGGAACAGAAAUGAUGAAAUAAUAUUUUCCUAGCCCUUUAACACUUUUCCUUCUGUAUAAGUUUCAGUGGGAUGAGAAGAAUAUGUUUUAUAAUAUAAUUAAAAAUAUUAUAAGUAGCAAUGAAGCAAUAUUUUAAAAUAAGAUAUAAUUUAGCUCCAUAGGCAAAGUUUAGCAUUUUUAAAAAGUUUAAUUUUUACGUAUUGAAUUCUGCAAUUUCCUAUUAUUAGUAGUAUUAAGAGUACUAUGGGCUAUCAUAUAAUUAGAAUUUCAGAAUGUUAAGUAUAUUCUCAUUAAAAUCAUUUAAAGAAUAUAAGCCCCAUUAUUGUCUCUCCAGUCCCAGCGAUUCAAUCACAUUACUUGACCUCUUUCUUUUAAUAUUCUUCACCAUUAAUUCUACCUUCAUCGUCACUCUCCUUGAAUAAGACAUGCCAUAAUCAAAACAAAGAUGACUCAUAGAUUACCUACUUUCCAUCCUCACUUUUUGGAACAAGUAUAAGGCCACAAAAAGAUGUCGAUUUCUCUAAUGACUAGGCCAGGGAGAAAGCUUACUGCAGGUAGGAAGGUUUAGGAUGUGCCAAGAUGUGAUGAAAGUUCAUGCUUUAUUCUUACAGAUUGCCUUUCUUUUCUUUCCUCUCUGGCCUAUGUCAGAAGGGUGUAUUGCUUUCUUAUGAUGAAAACAUAUUCAACAAAUGUGACUGGAAAAAAGUAUGAAAUGUAUUAAUAUUUGCUCUCAAAUAAAUAAGAUGUUUUUAAAAGUGUUGCAGUUACAGUUCUACAGCCCUGAGCACACUGUGAGCUUCAUGGAUGACAUAUUUUUUCUUCUCUAAUUCAAAAGACAGGUAAUUGUAGAACAAAAUAAGGCAGCUCAAAUAAAUACAGAAUAAUCUUUAAGCUGGAAAACUUUUCUGGCAUUGUUUGAUAGAUGUUAUACUAAAUCUAUUGUUUGCCAAAUUCCAUUUAAAUUGCUUAAACAGCUCUAGGAAAAUGUGGACUCUGUCUGUACAAUUUUUAACAUCAUAAUUUGCAGAAUUAAAAACAAUCCACCACUGAGUUAUUUGACAUCACGCAUUUUGAUUGCACAUUUUCUGAGUCUUGGAGCUUUUUUUCUCUUAGUUGUGAUACUAUUUCCUUUGCUACAAUUUUCAUCUGUAUUACACUACUUUAUCUUGACAUGGAAAUAAAAGUUAAUUAGUUUCUAUGACAACCUGUGCAUUAAACAUAGCAGUUCUCUCAGAUUUGUAAAUACAUGCCAACUUAGUAUUCAGAAUGCAACUUGUAUAAGCAUUCAGUACAAAUAGUGUGAGUUUGUUUGCAGUUAAGAUAGAAUAGCAACUUGAGCCAGAUGACAUGAUUCAUUUGAGUAUACAGCAUCUGUGAAAGAUGUCCUAAAUUUGUCAUCUAUGUACCACAUACUCUUCAUAUUUAAAGCUACAAAUGCCUUUAUAAUUUUUUUUUCUUAACCACAUUAAAGAUUCCAUAUAAAAACUCUACACUAAAAAUCUUCUAGGUUUAUUCUAACAAAGUGCCAAAAAUAGACCCUUCCAUUUAGCCUAUGAAGUGUUGCACUCUCUCUAAAAUAGUAGUUUUCAAACUUUUGUGUGCAAUAGAAACACCUGUGGAACUUCAUUAAAAAUAAGAAUUUCCAGGUUCUGCUCCUAGAGUGAGAAAUUAAGUAUAUCCAGGAUGAGACCAAUAAAUCUACAUUGUUAUCAAGCACCUUGGUUGAGUAUCAUGUGCACUUUGUGAGGGUCACUUUUCUGAAAAAUAGUAGAUUGUAUAUCAGACAGUUUUUAACCAAAUGUAGUAAAAGAUACUUUUAAAUCAUCAAGUUAUCAGCAUACCAAGAUUUUAAAACCAUUGUGAAAAAGUACUCCUUAUUCUGUACUGAGAGUAUAAAAAUCACAGUUCUCACAGCAUUCGUUAUUCUAAUUUCAACUUUUUAGAACAAUAAAUGAUAAUCUCAUAAAGAAAUCCUCCAGAAGACCAAAUAUAUCAGUUAUUGGUUGAAAUUAGUAAUAUGUGACAUGAUCUUAUGCAUAAAAACCUUUCACAAAAAGCAGAUGAUUUACAUGAAUAAAAAAAGAGGCUAAAUUUUACUAUCCACUAUUUUCUAUGGACAAUAUUCUUUUGCCCUCAUGGCAAAGGCAAGCUCUAAUACAUUAUGCUUUGGGAUUCUCAUCAGAAACCUAUAAACAAUGUAUAACUUACAAAUGUCCUUCAGUGCAUUAGAAUACUUUUAGUACAGCUUUAAAAUUUUAAAUCAAUUCUGCCAUUCACUCCAUAUUAUUUAUCUUCAAUUUCUCCAUAUUUUAAAUGUCACUGUGUCAUAUUAAGUAAUAAAAAGUUUAAAAGAUUAUAACCUGAACUUGGCAGAUAUGCACUUUCAUUACAAGGCCUGAAAUCCUUGCCUUCGUACGUUUUCUCUACCAGAGUCUUACUUCUUAUCUUGUUUUCAUUUUUGAAUGCAAUGAAAUCUUCACACUCACCGAACAGUCUAAAGUAUCAACAAUGUUAUUUUAAACCAAUUCUAAUAGUAAGUUAACGGUAUUUAAAAUAUUUGGCUCUUAAUCAGACUAUUUUGUCACCUCUUUUAAAAAUUAUCCUAUUAUACAAUAUCAGCUGAAAUUAUCCAUCAUUCUGCUAGUCUUAAAUCAUCCUUUAAUUCUAUCAGUUAUAUUAUUCACAUGCCCCGUAAUCCAGUAACAUUUCAUUUUCUUCAAUCUGAAGCUCAAGAAGGAAAGAACGCAUUUAAAGAUUAAUUUUUAUGUAUGCUCUUGUAACAAAUUAAAACUAAGUGACAUAAUAGGCUUUAUUAUAAGAAAAUUAUGUGUACCAAAAUGUGCUUGGGUAGAAAACGUAAUUUAUUUUCUCAGAACGUCCCCCUAAAGUAGGUGUUGUUUUCAUUAAGUUUUUUUGCCUUUUAAAGGCCAUAAGAAACUGAAUUAACUAAAUCUAGUAAAUUCCAUGUAAGCAUUAAGUAACUCAGAACUCAAAGACUUAUGGCAACAAAACUAUGUACAGAAUAGCCAGGUGCCUCUUUCCCUCCAGUGCAAUACUGAUCUUUCCUUGACUACAUGGUUUUUGCUGUGACACCACUCUCAUUAGAUUGGAAUUUGUGUUAACUUCCCUGUACUAGGACUUACUAAUAGGAUUGCUAGCAAUUAUUAUACUGAAAUGAAAUCAGCACAAACUAUUAGAUCUGUUUAAACAAGUUAAAAAUAAACCUUGAUUAAAUGUUCUUUUAUAAGAAGCUGCUCAUUAGGGCUACAUGGCCUUCAGAAAAAUUGGUGUUUCAUUAACAUCAAAGAAUGUACUCAGUUUAAACUCCCUAGCCUAAAAAGUUACAUAGAAAAUAAAGUUUUAAAAAUAUUUUAGAUAAUGAAAUUUUAGGAAAGAUCUUCCUUAUAGCUCUUGGUUUAGUCAAUAGAAAGAAAUAUACUAUUAAGAAUGAGGAGUAUUAAUAAUGGAAUUAUGAAGAAGAACACCACCAGCAAAUGCAAAAAGAAGCAAAAGGAUAAAUAAAUAAAUAAAUAAAUAAAUAAAUAAAUAAAUAAAUCUUUGCCAGAAUGACCAAAUGACAGAUUUCUUCUAAGCUGAGAUACAAGUCGGCCACGAAAUUGUUGAAUUAAAAAGUCACUUAGUAUUUAAAUGCAAAUCAGUAUGUCAAUUUAAGUAUCCCUGCAUCCAUUUUUGCAACUAAUCAGUAACUUUUGAACCAAAGUAGAACUUACAGAACUCUAGAAAGGGCAAGUAUCCCAUUCUAGAAAGUAGAAACAACAUUUUUCUUGUUACAAAGAAUCAAUGAACUGUUAUGACCUGAUUUGGUGGAAAUUAUUCUGUUGUGAUAGAUAACCUAACAUAAUUAAGAUAUAGUGUUGGUAAAUGUUAAACAUUUUUAUGGGCUACAAACUCAUAGAAAGGAUUUGAGUAAAAUUCUUAUUAUUCAUCUUCUUAUAUCCAUAUCAUUACACACACACACACAUACACACACACUCUUUAUCUCACUAAGAAAAGGUAAAUAUUACUGUAUAAAGGUAAAUGUUAGUUACAUAAAGGUGGGUUACCAUUUAUGGUUGAAGAUGAGUAAAGGAUGAAAAAAAAAAGCCACUAUAAUUAAAAGUCCAAGAGAAUCAUCAAACAUUGAAAUUCACAAUAACGUGUUAUCUAAAGUUACUGGCAAGUUGAUCUAUUUAAAGAUUACAAUUUACUAUCCUUAAAAGGGUUUUAAAAUAAAAUAAUUCAUUUUCUGAACUGUACAUGUAUUAUUCUAAACAAACCAAGCAGUAAUUACAACUGUAAAUUAAUCUCUUCAUAUAGACUGAUAUCCUCUACAGUAUACUUGCCCCUUGCCUACACAGUAAUAUGAAUAUGUUCUGAUGUUUAAAAGGAAUAAACCUUCUAGUUUGAGUAAUUAACAUUCCUUAAUUAAACAUACUAAGGAAUAGACAAUGGGUUCUUUAUGAAUAUGUGAGCAUGCCUAAAAGCAACAAAAUCACACUUUUGUUAAAGCAUUUGUGUGUAUUUUGCACAAUUUUUAAAAGUUUAACCUCUGUAGAUCAAUGUGCUUCCUUAAAAGACUUUAAUAAAUUAAAGUGCAGAGAGCUUUUUUUCACCAGGCAGAAAAAGCUGAUGAGACAGGUUUAGUUUAAUCUCAGGCAAUAGAAGUCAUUAACCAUUCUCUCAGGGAUUAAAAUAUAGCUUGCCCUUUUCUUCUCUCACUUAUCAUUAGCAUCACUUUAAUCUCCUAGCGUUUCACACUGCUAUUUUAAUCAUUACUUACUGCCUUUUGACAAGUGCAGAACAUGCUUUUUCUCAUUGAGGCAAUAUCCUGGUUUUAGCUGACAAAUGUAGGACAUAAUGUAAAAAUAUCAAAGUGACAUCUCUUAAACACACCUUCAUCAUAAAAACUCUAAAGUUACAAUAUUCCUUUGUCUAGUAUUUCCAUGAAAAUUAUCAUUUGAAAGGUUUAUAUCUUAAAUAAAGAAAAAAGUUUCUUCCAAAUACAACAAAAACUAGUUUAGAGAAAUAGUAUGCUGAAUAAAUGAGAUCUAAAAAUAUGCACAUACAUGUUAUUCUUACUCUCUAAAAUGUAUACUCAUGAACUGCCAAGUGUUUACAAAAGCAAAAUGUUGUUUCGAUAUAACUAUAAUAACAAAAUAUGCUAUAUUGAAAUGCCCACCCAAUUACCAUUUAAUGCUUUAUAAUGAUACUACAUAGUACAUAUAUCCUAGGUUGAGCAAAGUGCUGCAAUGAUUAUCCCUAAUUCUAUUAUUUUAAAAUAUGUACCACACCUCUGCUGAUUGAUAGAUACUAUGUAAUUCUUGCGGAAAAUUUAGGUAGAAAUAACAAUAGUUACAACCAUAUUCAUAUGUAACAUCUGAAAACCUAUUAAGAGUGUUACUACUGAACUUUCCGCUACAUUUUCAAAAUUGCUAGUUUAGAUAAAAGAAAAACCAUAUGAUGUUUGUUAAUGUUCUUUUAUCUAAUGACAUUUAGUUUAAUUUACAGAAUCUCUUUAAUCUAAUCUGCCUAAACCUGAAGUGGAUAACAAAUUUGGCAUAAGUCUUUUGAGAUCUGUGAAUGUAAGUUUUAUAUUGUCUUUAGAUAUAAAUAUUACAAGUCUGAGAAUAUAUUCUAGCAUUAAUACUGUGUUCUAUUUUAACUCAAAACUAAACCAAUGAAAUGUUUGGUAAUUGUAAAACCUGACUUUUUAAACCAAAGCACCAAUUUUUGGUAACGAUCACUAACACUUGGCCCCAAGACUUUUAAUCUAGUCCAUCUGUAAUGAUCUCAUAGUACUUUCAACCAUUAUUUAACUGUUAGAAGAAAAAAUAUGUCGCACUAUAUGUUUCGACAAUAAAAUCCCUUCUUAAGCUUCACAAAGCAGAACAAUUCAUUAUUUGAUCUCUUUCCAGGUUCAAAGUCUGUCUUAUUACAGUACUUCAAAGAAAUAUGUAAUCAAAGACAAACAGCUGUGAAAACAAUCUUUUAUUACUUUAUUAUCAUUGAGAAUAUAUCUUUGGAGUAAACCAGUGGAAAUAGCGUACAAAUAAUCUUCAUAAAGGUUGUUGUUUUGCAUUUGUUCACAAACUAUGCAUGUUUAUCUUUAAGGCUUUAAUUUUACUUUCUAUAAAUAGAAUAAUGGCACAGGCCAGUCACUCUAUUGCCUGUUUAAAAAAAAAAAAAAAGGAACAAUAGCAACAACACCACAAACAAGUUAGCUGCUCCAAUGUCAAAGAAAUGUUUUUAAUAAACAAAUUUUCAAAAUGAUAUUCAGUGAUGUGACUCCCUGGGUUAACAUUGCCCUGAAGUGAAAUUAUUUUUUUCUGGUGUUCAUAUUAAUCAGUUAGAUUUGCAGAAUUAGUCAACUACAAAUUGGUAUACACAACUAGAAUGCAUACACCUAAAGUUCCACUGAGUAUUCUGAAAACAGAUGCAAAAUCAAGCAAUUAGCUUCUAAGGUAGAAGCUACAUUGCCAAAAUUAUCUUCAUAUUUUACACAUCACACAAUAAUCUGGUCAUGUCUAUAUUUCUCAGUAUGGAGGGUUUCUGUUAUCAACAUGCAAAUAGACUGGACAACAUAACAUAGUGUUCUUUAAAUGGGAAUGACUCUCUUCAUCUGCAGCCUUGUGAGACACUGUAGGUUUCAAGGUAGAAGUGAUGAAGUCCUGCCAUCCCACUACAGUAGAAAACAUGUGGAGGCAGAAGGAAGAAACACCUCCUGAGUGCAUAUUAUAUGGUAGAAACCGUAUAAUUUAGUUAUGAUACCAACCCUUUGAGGAAGUCAUUAUUUAUAAUCCAUGCUUUACAGAUGUGGAAACGGAUUUUAAAAGCUUAGUAACUUUUGACUCAUUCUUGGGUUAAUCAGACUCCAAAGUCAGUGUGCUCAUUGUAUUAGAUCAGAAUGCUGUCCAUUCUAGAACACACUUUCUAGGUACAUGUCCUCAAAAGGCACUAUAAUCUCUAACAAAUCCAACUCUUCUUCAGAAAACCAUAAGGCAUUAUGGUAGACAGGGACAAAAUAGGUCACUGUCAUUUUCUAUGAAACUAAAUUGAUGAUUCAUCAACACAGGCCAUUGUUAGAAAGAUCAUUGUUCCUAGGUCUUUACAAACAUAUCGCUAGGCCAAAAGUGAUGUGAAAUCGGUGCCAUCUUGCUUACCAAAAGAUAUCACUGAAAGGUGCUACAAGAAUGCUCCCCUAGCAGGGCAUAGUGGUUCAUGCCUAUAAUCCCAGCACUUUGAGAGAUGGAGGAAGGAGGAUCUCUUGAGGCCAGAAGUUCGAGACCAGCCUGGGCAACAGAGCAAGACUCCAUCUCAACACAAGCUUUUUUUUUUUUUUUUUUUUUUUUUUUUUUUAAAUUAGCUAGGUGCUCGCCUGUAAUCCUACCUACUCAGGAGGCUGAGGCAGGAGGAUUAUUUAAGCCCAGGAGCUUGAGGCUAUAGUGAGCCAUAAAUGCAUGCCACUGAACUCCAGCCUGGGCAACAGGGCAAGUCUCUUCAAGAAAAACAAUUGCCACCUCAAAUUGACAAACUGAAGAAGACAGACAGAUAACAGUUAUUCUGGUGCCAUGGCCAUAUAGACAAACCAGGUAAUUAAGGCUGUGAUAUAAAUUUUUAAAAGAUAAUGGUAUGUUCAUUUCACUUUCUACUGUCUUAGUACAAUCGCAAAAUGAUUUAAUAUCUUUGUAUUGGUUUUAAAGUUUUGUCUCUAAAAAUAAACAUAGAUACAUAUAUAAACAAAUGCAUAUUCACACAAAGAUAUAUACAUUAGCUAUGAUAUGUUCUUAUGUAUUUAUAUGUAACAUUGUCUUAGUUGUAAAAUGUGAAGUCUAAACUGAAUAUAGUUGUCACAGACAUUCCUUUAUAUUAUUAAGAUUAUUUGAAGGUCACUGACAGAGGAAGGAAAAAAUAACACAAUGAUAGGCAGUAAACAGAACUGAAUUUAAAUUUUUUGUUAUUGCCAGUAAACAUAACUGAAAAAUCUAACAUCAUAUUAGUAUGAACAUUAGUAUUUUCAAUUUUAAAUAAUACAUUAAAAAAUUCCUAGAGACUCUUUGCCAGCCAAGUGUAGGGAUAAUGGAGAAAAUGGAAUUGCUUAUUUGAAGUUAUGAUCCUUCACUUCAUAGCACAACUUGGUUUAGUUUUAUUGGUUACUAAAUAAGCAGUAUAAGAAUUAAAAAUGAAUUUAAGGCAUGACUCAAUUUCCAUAAAAGUUAAUUUCUUGACUUUUCAGUUUGAUUGUUAUCAAAAGUUAUUCAGUAAAAGGGCGCAAAACAAAGCCAGUCACUCCAGCUUUGGAAUAAUUAAGCAGUAAUUUGACCAAACAUUUCCUUCCUUCCUGUGUAUUUCUCAAAGUCACUAUUACACUAUAAAUUUUAGCAGAACCAUUUUUAAUGGGCACAAUCUAUGAGGGAAAUAGUCCAUAGUAAAAUGUUUCACAACCAAGGUUGGCAACACCAUUAUGAAGUCACUUUUUACUGCUAUUUUUAGGAUGUAUUCAAGAUAAACUUUUGAUUUUCAGGUUUUUAGAAAGGUCAGAUUAUAGAAGUGAGAGUUACCAUGGCUAAUUUUGACAUGUAACACCUAUGUAUAAUUGAGUUUAUUAAUUUUGGAAAUACCUAAAGAAAAGUUAAAUAGUAUGGUAUUAUAACUUUAGAUGUUAUUUUAAUGCAAUAUUUUCUUAAUAUAUUGAUUAAUAAAGAAUUAGAUCAGUUAAUGCUAAUUCAUUGUUUCCAUUUUGGGUGAUGCUAUAAUAAGCAAUAAAAAAGGAGAAAUAACAGUCUUAAUUCCUAAGAGUCCCUGGAUCAUUUGCUUUCAUUGAAAAGGUAUCAUUCAUAAAGUCAUGUGAAAUAAUCUUAUACAGCUGCUUUUUCACUUUUUGAGGGUACCUUCUUACAUAUCAUUUCAUUUCAUACUGAAUAAAACAUAUAUUUAAAUUUUACUUACCCAGAUAGAAAAACUAGCAUCUUUUCUACACCCCAAAUAAACCCUGCUGUUGCUUUUACUUUGUCACUCACUGGUAAUUUUUUUCUUUGUCUUCUUUAUCUUUUACCUUCAGCAAGUGACUUCUCAUCUGACUUGAUCUCUACAACUUGUUCUUCCUUCAUCACUCCCCACCCAGACCCUGUCCCAGAAGUUUCAGAAGCCUCUUGACCUCCAAUGCAAACAUCUGAUAAGCAUCCUCAAAGCACUCUAGGCCUAUUCAUAGUUUUCUGUCUUAUCCCAAAUUAUGCUAUCUAUUCUUUCAGCUUCCUGUAAUUCCUGUUAUCAAAUAUAUUUCACUGUUUUGCCCCCAUGGUUUACAACAAUCACCCUCUUGUUGUUUUCAGAUGAGUUCCUUAAAAUGGUAAAGGGGAGCUCAGGAAACAUUUCCACCUUCUUCUUCUUGUCCGUACGGUAUAGCCUUAAAGAGACAGGAAACAUUUCCACCUUCUUCUUCUUGUCCGUACGGUAUAGCCUUAAAGAGACAGGAACUUCAGAGUCAGACAGUCCUGGCUCUUAGCGUGUCUCCAACAAACUGUUUGGUAGCUUGAACAGUAAGUCUCAGUUUCCUCAUGAGUUAAAUGGGAAUAAUGACAUCUAUAUCAUAGGGUUAUUAUAAGCAUUAAGUAGACAAAAUUUUCAAAAAUUUUAUGGUACAUCGUUGAUGCUAAUCAAACUUAGUAUCACUUCCCCUCUUCUAGAAACUCAUGUAUAAAUAAACAAGAAUUGUUCUGAACUGCAUUAUCCUAGCUUGCUUUUAACAAUCUAUGUGAUUUUAUAUAUAAUUAUAUUGGCAGUGACUGCAUCUAUAUUAUGUCCAUCAUUUUAAAACACAAAAAAACUAAUCCAAACGCCAAACUUGUAGAUUGGAGCUAUAUUUUUUCCUAAAUUUUUGUUUUGUUUUGUCUAGUUUGGAUUUCUACUGGACAACAAAUAGAAGACUUGCUAACCUUUGUCAGACGUUUAAUUUUAAGUAUUUAUGUGUAAUAUUCCCACUAUUCUCAACAUUCAUAUUGAGUAUAUAUGAAUUAUUAAAUCAAUAAAUUAUAAGGCCAGGUGUGGUGGCUCACACCUAUAAUCCCAGCACUUUGGGAGGCCAAUGAAGGUGGAUUGCUUGAACCCAAAAGUUUGAGACCAGCCUGGGUAAAAUGGUAAAACCUCAUCUCUACAAAAAAUACACAAAUUAGCUGGUAGUAAGGGGUUGUGCCUAGAGUCCCAGCUACUUGGGAGGCUGAGGUAGGAGGUUGCAGUGAGCCGAGAUUGCACCACUGCACUCCAGCUUAGGCGACAGAGUGAGACCCUGUCUACAAUAAAUAAAUAAAUAAAUAAAUAAAUAAAUAAAUAAAUAAAUAAAUAAAACUAUAAAACUUCAGAAUUGAAGUGGACCUUAUAAAUAAGCUAGUUAUUUCUCUCAAUUUACAAAAGACAAUGCAUUGCUCCAAGAGAUUAGACAACUCAGUCGGUGAUAUUCAGAAUCAGUAGUAGAAGCCAGAUUUCUGACAAUUAACUCACUAAUUUCUUGAUACUUUGAUUUUUACAUAAGUCAAAUGUAAUUAAUAUUUUGAGAUAUACAUUUUACUGAUCUUUGUCUUUAACAUUAGAGUAAAUGUUAGAGGAAUAAACUCCCUGAUUUCUGUUUUCAAACUUCCCUUCAGUGACAAAUGAGAGCACUCAAUAGUUUUAAAAUUAACUUUCUGUGGAUUAUAGCUUUAUAAUGUUGAACAAAUGUCCCCAAUUUUUGGAGAAAUUUAAGUUGAAAAAUCUAGUAAAAAAAUCUUAAUUUUCAAAAGGCAUAACUAUUGUUUUCUUUAUAAUAGUUUAUAAAAAAAAUUCUUAUAAUGAAAGUAAAGAAAUAUAAACUGCAACUUUCCUCUGCUAACAAUAUGUAGAAAUCAUAUGUUUUAAGCAUAGCUCUUGAAACACAUAGUAAGCUCCUUUCAGAAUUUCAUAUAUUUAUCAUUUCUUUAAGAAUAACAUUUCCAAAAAAUUAAACUUGGAAACAAUAAAUUUGUUCUGGUAUAGUUUAUAGAAUUGUUACCCUAGGAGAAACACUGGUCUAACAUGGCAUUUGUUUAUCAAAUGAUCACUAAAGAAAGGCAGAUACCAGAAAGUUGGAGCUUUAUGUGAUAUUUUCAUUGUAACCAUUCAUAUACACAGAUUUAGAAAAGAAAGUUGCUCCCCUUUUUCAGCAAGAUUUGAAUGGCAUUUUGCAAGACUUAACUUUGAUACCUUUUCUUCUGUCAUACCUAAGUCAAACUUUCUUACAGUGUGGAUAUAGUGAAAAGAUGAGAAUUUAACAAAAACAAAGGGCUGAAUAUAUAUAUAUACAUAUAUACACAUAUAUACAUAUAUACACAUAUAUACACAUAUAUACGUAUAUACGUAUAUAUAUACACAUAUAUACGUAUAUACGUAUAUAUGUGUAUAUAUAUACGUAUAUACGUAUAUAUACACAUAUAUACGUAUAUACGUAUAUAUGUGUAUAUAUACGUAUAUACGUAUAUAUACACAUAUAUAUAUUUAUAUACAUAUAUAUAUAACAUGCAAAGGUAACAGAAAACGUUUUAAGAGUUUGAUUUUGGAUUUUAGAACAAAACUUAACUUCAUUCACAUCCAGAUAUCUGAGAAAGAACAGCUAUACCCUUUUAACAUCACCAUUUAGAAAAUAGAAUGCAGAAAGUGGCAACGCAAAAUAUACUUUGAGUAAGACACAUUAAUUUCUCUGGACCUCCAACUUUUUGCUUGUAAAAAGUACUUACUUUACUGAGUCAUUUAAUAAAAUGAGUGACUUAAUGCUUGCAGAGCGCUUUGCAUACAACCUAAACCAUAUUGGAAGCUCAAGUGGUAAAACAAUAACCACACCAAACAAAAAUAGUUCCAUUUCAUGGAGUGAUGGAGAUACUUGCUACCUCUCCACCUCUCCUUUCCCCUCUAUUCCCAGAUCUCUUCUUUGACAUCUUCAAAAUUCAACAAAAAAGUUUCCCUGUCUUUUUCCUUCCCAUCCCUGGCCACCUCUACUCAACCGCAUCCACCUAUUUUAUGUUUCUACUUGUGCAAAUCUCAAGUUUUGGACUCACCACAGAGAAUUAUGCAGACUUAUUUCUCUUUCCUACUAUAUUGUGAGCUGAGAACAAAAACUCUUUAUUAAAUCUCUGGAAACCUCUUCUCUAUAUUAGUGCCUGGCAUAUUGUGGGUGCUUCAAAAACAUCCUAUGAAGGAAGGAAUGAAUGAAUGAAUGAAUGAAUGAAAAUAAUAAGGAUCAAAUGGGAUAUUAUAUAUAAAAAGGCUGUGUAAACCAUAAAACAUUACUGGGGGAUAAGGGUCAGGUAAAGAUCAAUAGAGAUUUAAAAAGAACUGUGACCAGAAUAGGAAUUACAUCAGCAAGGGAAAGAACGGGAGAGGCUUCCAGAUAAAAAAGCAUACACAAAGACUGAAAAGUUAGAAAGAGCUUGGCAAGUUGAGGGAACUGAGGAAGGUUCAGUGAGGCAUUUUAGAGUUUUUUCAUUGUGCUAUAUAAAUUUAUAUGAUAUUAACAUUUUUAUGUGAUCAAUCAAAUAAUAACAUUAUUUUUACAUUGACACUAUCAUUUAAAUUUCAGAGGAUUCUGGAGCACUUUAUGUAUAUUUAGAUUAAAUAUAUUAUUUUGUUUAUCCCUUAUAAAACAUAUCAAAUAAAAUAUGCAGGGCAUUACAAAUAACACGGUAUGAAACAGAGGCUACCACAUAUUUUUGAAAAUUAGCUACAAGUUGAUAGAAUUAUCAGUGUUGAAAAUCUACUCUUGAACCUGGGAGACGGAGGUUGCAGUGAGCCAAGACUACGCCACUGCAUUGUAGUCUGGGCGACAGAGAGAGACUUCAUCUCAAAAAAAAAAAAAAAUUCUCUUAAUGAAAAGAAUGUUCCUCUCUCCCCUCUCUUCCUUCACUUAACUUUUACUCUUCCUUUGGUAAAAUAAAAAAUGUGCUAUAAAAGUGAAAUCACUUUCUUUCCUGCCUUUUUAAUGUUUUGUUUAACUUUCUUGUUACACUCCCUGAAUAGUGAAAUACAUUUUCAAAUUAUUGCUAAGAAUAGGCCGGUCUCAGUGGCUCAUGUCUGCAAUCCCAGCAUUUUGGGAGGCCAAGGCAAGAGAACUACCUGAACGUAGGAAUUCAAGACCAGCAUGGGCAACAUAGCGAGACCUUAUCUCUACAAAAAAUAAAAAUAAAUUAGCUGGGUGUGGUGGCACGUGCCUGUAGUCCAGUUACUUGGGAGGCUAAGGUGGGAGGAUCACUUGAGCCCAGGAGGUUGAGGCUGCAGUGAGCUAUGAUAGUGACACUGCACUCCAGCCUGGGUGACAGAGCGAGAUUUUGUUAUGGUAAGUUUGAAACUUUCACUGUGCCUUCCCUUUGGUUCAUUAGGUUAUAAUAAAGGCCACAAGCUCAAAUGCCUCAAGAACCAGGCAGGGAACAAACAAAUCCUGUGGGAACCACAGUGAACCUGCACACAGGUCCACAGAAAGGAAGCAACUGUAACUCACCUCUAGAGAACUGUUGCCAUGCCAACACUAGGUCCAGAUCUUUUUUAUUUUUAUUUAUUUAUUUAUUUAU